Non-coding RNA from Anas platyrhynchos (mallard), 2196 nucleotides. Lineage: Eukaryota; Metazoa; Chordata; Aves; Anseriformes; Anatidae. The record is from RefSeq and is a predicted model, not a curated record.
GGCUGUAAUUAGAGAGAAGAAAGUAUUAGAAUCAGCUGGAAGCUCUGAUAGGUAGCUCCCCACCUGAGUUUAUGCUCCUAAAGUACUUGUUACUUGUUUUGCUCUAAAUUAUUAUUUUUUCACUGUUCUGAGAAGAGUUAUUUUCAGAUCAAAAACAGCCACUGUUGCUGCAUUGUAGAAAACCAAAUGUGGUUAUCUACAGGUGGAGUGUGUUUUUGAUUGUAUUGUAAUUUUGAACACACAACAAAACUAAAUAUAUAUAUAUAUUUUAAAAACAAACAAACAAACAAAGAACAACACGUGGGGAGAGCAGCUGUGGCAUGGUGGCGAGUCUCUGGGAAAGCCAUCGUCUGGCAGAAGAAAGCCCAGGGGGACUUUUCAGAGGUAAGAAGCCUUCAAACAUAUGGGGACCCAUAACUCAUGCACCGAGCGUGCAAGACAUGUCCGUGGCACGAAGAUUGAGGAUGACUUCUCAGAGCUCUCACAUCAGCACUGCUCCGUAAGCUGUGCCUGCCGUUCUGCUUCCGCGCACGCGCGCAGCCAGGUGGCUCGCCUAAGGCGGGGGAGCCGAGCGGCGCCGCAGGACCUCUGCGCGUGGCGAAAUGGCGGCGUCCUUCUCUGAAGCGGGUCCGGGCUCGGGACGCCACGCCACAUCGAAGGGCGGUGCCGCGACGAGGGCAGAAGCAGCUCCCCGGCGCUAGGACCCCUGCGGGGUUUGUUGCCGAGUGAGGGUGGUACGGCAGGUAAACUGAGGAAGGCUGCAGCUGGUGUGCUGCAGUCACAGGUUGUCCAGCACAAUCAUGAAAAUGUCAUCUUUUUACCAAGAAUGAUGAGAACUGAUGCGUCUGCCCUGUGUUUGGAUAGAAAAUGUCACAGAUUUAAAGACGGUGUGUAUUAAAUGAAGGAUGAGAAGAAACACCUUUUUCGGAUACUUGCACUCCUCUUCUUCAGCUCGUGCAGAAGGCUGACAGCCUGCCUCACUCUCAUUAGUGCUGUCCCACCAGCUCCUUUAGGAGCUCAGCACUGCGUUUGGCCUGCUGCAGUCUUCCCAAUCCCCUCAUUUCUAUGCUGCAACACCAACAUCCACUAGAAGUCAGGUAGGAUCUGAAGACCUUUGACACUGCUAAAUGAUCAAACCUCAGCUGUCAGUUUUAGCCCUUUGUAUUCCAGUUGUUUGCUUUGCUGGGCGAUGGUUUCAAUUUUUUUUAUUUUGUAAUACGUUCUUUGUAGAGGUUAUUUUAAGCAGACAAGUAGGUAGCCUCCUUCCUUCAGUGGAUUUUUGCGGGUUUUGGCUGAGCUUUGCACAUCUGAACAAUUGCCCAUUGGUUGUUCUGGUCUUGACACAUCUCUAAAAACUUUGUCUGCCUCUCCUCUUUGUGUAUUAAGAUGCACAUUCGUGCAAAAAUAAUGUAUGCUUAAAGAUGCCCAGUGGUUUGGGGGAAUUUUCAGCGUUUCACAUAUAAGGUUUCAUGUUUACUUAACUACUUAAGUGUAGUCCUGGCUUUAAGCUUAGGUGUAGCUAAUGAUUGUUACUCAAGUGGUUAUAAAGUUUAAAAUGUUUGUUUGUAUAUAUAUAGAUGAAACUGAGUCUGUGGAGUGAAAGACUUUUCUGCUUGUUGCAUAUACUCGUGUAUCAGCAGGCUCAUAUGCAAGCUGAUCGAAACUGGAUGCCAAGCUGUGCCUUUUUUGUUGCCUGGAAUAUGCAAUCUGUGCGCCUUGGGUGUACCUUGUCUAUUAACUAUCUUUCACAUUGUGCCACUCCAUUAAUAAUAUGAGUGGAUGUACCCAGCACCACCUUGGGGCUACAUAGAAUGUGGAAAUUUCUAGUAUGUUAAGGUUACUCUGCUAACAAAACUGACUUACUAGCUGCUUGCUGUUUCUGUGUUUUUUUUUUUGUUUGUUUGUUUGUUUUUGUUUUUUGUUAUUCUUUUCAGUAGUCUCCCCAAAAGUUUUUGUGGACAUGUUGUGUAUCUUUGCUAUUCUUCCAGGAUUCAUUUGUCAGGAAAGAUGACCAUGAAAUCUGAGGGUUGUGGACAACCAUCUACCAGAUGGUUGUUGCAGAUGCCUUUGAUCACGUUAUUUGUCCUUUUAGCUUGCUCUUUCCUUUAUCUUGAGUUGAAUUUUUUUGCAGUGCUAUGUUUGCAGUGGUCAUAUUGCUGCUGAGGUGCAUUUAAUUAAAAGCGAUUUUAACGGUAA